AGUGAACGCUGGCGGUAGGCCUAACACAUGCAAGUCGAACGGCAGCACAGUAAGAGCUUGCUCUUACGGGUGGCGAGUGGCGGACGGGUGAGGAAUACAUCGGAAUCUACUUUUUCGUGGGGGAUAACGUAGGGAAACUUACGCUAAUACCGCAUACGACCUACGGGUGAAAGCAGGGGAUCUUCGGACCUUGCGCGAUUGAAUGAGCCGAUGUCGGAUUAGCUAGUUGGCGGGGUAAAGGCCCACCAAGGCGACGAUCCGUAGCUGGUCUGAGAGGAUGAUCAGCCACACUGGAACUGAGACACGGUCCAGACUCCUACGGGAGGCAGCAGUGGGGAAUAUUGGACAAUGGGCGCAAGCCUGAUCCAGCCAUACCGCGUGGGUGAAGAAGGCCUUCGGGUUGUAAAGCCCUUUUGUUGGGAAAGAAAAGCAGCAGGUUAUGACCCCGCUGUUCGGACGGUACCCAAAGAAUAAGCACCGGCUAACUUCGU
RNAcentral lists this ribosomal RNA (491 nucleotides) under uncultured bacterium. Its description in RNAcentral is "partial 16S ribosomal RNA". It matches the Rfam family "Bacterial small subunit ribosomal RNA", at positions 29 to 506 of the family's 1533-position model. The record is from RNAcentral.